GUAAUUGAGGCCAAUAUCAUUCACCCGCUUGUACAUCUUCUCCAACAUUCAGAGUUCGAUAUAAAAAAGGAGGCUGCAUGGGCCAUCUCUAAUCCCACUUCCGGUGGCUCUCAUGAACAAAUCCAAUUUCUUGUUAGCCAAGGUUGCAUCGGCCCACUCUGUGAUCUCCUAAACUGUCCAGACGCAAGGAUUGUAACUG
Humulus lupulus (European hop) is the source of this 199-nucleotide long non-coding RNA. RefSeq lists it as uncharacterized. The record is from RefSeq and is a predicted model, not a curated record. Lineage: Eukaryota; Viridiplantae; Streptophyta; Magnoliopsida; Rosales; Cannabaceae. The transcript has 2 exons.